RNAcentral lists this long non-coding RNA (381 nucleotides) under Eutrema salsugineum. Its description in RNAcentral is "long non-coding RNA (ESAL_LNC001999)". Lineage: Eukaryota; Viridiplantae; Streptophyta; Magnoliopsida; Brassicales; Brassicaceae. The record is from RNAcentral.
CACCACCACCGUAUUACUAUCAUUCACCGCCGCCGCCGGUGAAAUCCCCUCCCCCUCCUUAUGUUUACCACUCUCCUCCUCCUCCGGUGAAGUCUCCUCCACCUCCUUAUGUAUACCACUCUCCUCCUCCUCCGGUAAAGUCUCCUCCACCGCCAUAUUACUACCACUCUCCUCCUCCUCCGGUGAAGUCUCCUCCACCACCAUAUUAUUAUCACUCUCCACCACCACCAGUGAAAUCUCCUCCUCCUCCUUACUAUUAUCAUUCUCCACCUCCUCCGGUCAAGUCUCCACCACCGCCAUAUUACUACCACUCUCCACCUCCUCCGGUAAAGUCUCCACCACCACCUUACUACUACCAUUCUCCACCUCCUCCGGUAAAGG